ACGAACGCUGGCGGCGUGCUUAACACAUGCAAGUCGAACGGUGAUCUUGAGAGCUUGCUCUUGGGUGAUCAGUGGCGAACGGGUGAGUAACACGUGAGGAACCUGCCCCAGACUCUGGAAUAACCCCGGGAAACCGGAGCUAAUACCGGAUAUGACAUCAGACCGCAUGGUCAUGGUGUGGAAAGUUUUUCGGUCUGGGAUGGCCUCGCGGCCUAUCAGCUUGUUGGUGAGGUAGUGGCUCACCAAGGCGACGACGGGUAGCCGGCCUGAGAGGGCGACCGGCCACACUGGGACUGAGACACGGCCCAGACUCCUACGGGAGGCAGCAGUGGGGAAUAUUGCACAAUGGGCGAAAGCCUGAUGCAGCGACGCCGCGUGAGGGAUGAAGGCCUUCGGGUUGUAAACCUCUUUCAGCAGGGAAGAAGCGAAAGUGACGGUACCUGCAGAAGAAGCACCGGCUAACUACGU
Molecule: ribosomal RNA, 468 nt
Filed under: uncultured bacterium
Lineage: Bacteria
Description: bacterial SSU rRNA
Rfam family: Bacterial small subunit ribosomal RNA
Source: RNAcentral